This 76-nucleotide transfer RNA is filed under the name Metalysinibacillus jejuensis. RNAcentral's name for it is "tRNA-Lys". It matches the Rfam family "tRNA". Rfam says of the family: Transfer RNA (tRNA) molecules are approximately 80 nucleotides in length. The record is from RNAcentral. Lineage: Bacteria; Bacillati; Bacillota; Bacilli; Caryophanales; Caryophanaceae. RNAcentral also lists the same sequence under 1 other name.
GAGCCAUUAGCUCAGUUGGUAGAGCACCUGACUUUUAAUCAGGGGGUCGCAGGUUCGAAUCCUGCAUGGCUCACCA